RNAcentral lists this ribosomal RNA (1049 nucleotides) under Aurantiochytrium limacinum. RNAcentral's name for it is "partial Bacterial large subunit ribosomal RNA". It matches the Rfam family "Bacterial large subunit ribosomal RNA", at positions 17 to 1024 of the family's 2925-position model. Lineage: Eukaryota; Bigyra; Thraustochytrida; Thraustochytriidae. The record is from RNAcentral.
GCGCAUGGUGGAUGCCUUGGCAACAGGAGCCGAAGAAGGACGUGGGAAUCUGCGAUAAGCCUGGUGGAGUCGAUAACCGGACGUUGAGACCAGGAUUUCCGAAUGGGGAAACCCCGCACGACGUGUCGUGUGACCCCCGGUUGAACACAUAGACCGGGUGGAGGGAACGUGGGGAAGUGAAACAUCUCAGUACCCACAGGAAGAGAAAACAAAAGUGAUUCCGUUAGUAGUGGCGAGCGAACGCGGAUGGGGCUAAACCGUAUGUGUGUGAUACCCGGCAGGGGUUGCAUGUGCGGUGUUGUGGGCCCCUCCUUGUCAUGUCUGCCGGCAUGGCGCAGUGAGGUGCGGGCAUAUAGACGAACCAGUGUGGAUGCUGGACCGUAGAGGGUGAGAGUCCCGUAGUCGAAAUGUGUUCCGCCGCUGUUGGAGGGUUGCCCGAGUAGCACGGGGCCCGAGGAAUCCCGUGUGAAUCUGCCAGGACCACCUGGUAAGCCUGAAUACUACCUGUUGACCGAUAGCGGAUCAGUACCGUGAGGGAAUGGUGAAAAGUACCCCGGGAGGGGAGUGAAAUAGUACCUGAAACCAUGUGCCUACAAACCGUUGGAGCCUCCUUGUGGGGUGACAGCGUGCCUUUUGAAGAAUGAGCCUGCGAGUUAGUGAUGCGUGGCGAGGUUAACCCGUGGUGGGGGAGUCGUAGCGAAAGCGAGUCCGAUAAGGGCGUGAGUCGCGUGUUCUAGACCCGAAGCGGUGUGAUCUAUCCAUGGCCAGGAUGAAGCGUCGGUAAGACGUCGUGGAGGUCCGAACCCACUUCAGUUAAAAAUGGAGGGGAUGAGUUGUGGAUAGGGGUGAAAGGCCAAUCAAACACCGUGAUAGCUGGUUCUCCCCGAAAUGCAUUUAGGUGCAGCGUUGCGUGGUUCUUGUUGGAGGUAGAGCACUGGAUGGUCUAGGGGGCUUAUCGGCUUACCGAAAUCAGCCAAACUCCGAAUGCUGGCAAGUGUAGCGUGGCAGUGAGACGGCGGGGGAUAAGCUUCGUCGUCGAGAGGGAAACA